This is a long non-coding RNA of Dromiciops gliroides (monito del monte), 431 nucleotides long. RefSeq lists it as uncharacterized. The transcript has 4 exons. NCBI's taxonomy places the organism in Eukaryota, Metazoa, Chordata, Mammalia, Microbiotheria, Microbiotheriidae. The record is from RefSeq and is a predicted model, not a curated record.
CGGAGCGCACGGUUGGCUUGCUCUCCCUCUCUCCUCCCCCGGGCGGCAGCGGAGGGGACCCUAUCUCGGGCCGCCGCGCCUAGGCCCGUGAAGAGCCUGCGGCUCGGGCAUGGCGGCGGCGGCCGAGCUGUCUCGGAGCCAUCAAUAUCAAGGCAAGACCCUCUACCAGCAAAAAGAAUACAACUCUUCACUGAAGGCUCAGAUGAUGCUCAAUUCUAAACCUGCUUAGUCUGAGACCUGAAGGUGGGGUGAACCAUCUAGGCAUCUUUAGGCUGAGUGUCCUCUGGUGGCCAGUGGGGAUAUUACAUUUUUUUAAAGGAAGGUCAUCCCACACAUGCAUCCCCCACACUCUGAUGACACUGCUUACUACUGGACUGGUGGCUCAAGUUGAGUACCACCUGAAUAACUGCUGAACCAGGAGAAUGUUGUAC